This 465-nucleotide ribosomal RNA is filed under the name uncultured bacterium. Its description in RNAcentral is "partial 16S ribosomal RNA". It matches the Rfam family "Bacterial small subunit ribosomal RNA", at positions 28 to 507 of the family's 1533-position model. The record is from RNAcentral.
GACGAACGCUGGCGGCGUGCUUAACACAUGCAAGUCGUACGGUAAGGCCCUUUCGGGGGUACACGAGUGGCGAACGGGUGAGUAACACGUGAGUAACCUGCUCACAACUUUGGGAUAACGCUAGGAAACUGGUGCUAAUACUGGAUAUGUGCUCCUGCCGCAUGGUGGGGGUUGGAAAGCUCCGGCGGUUGUGGAUGGACUCGCGGCCUAUCAGCUUGUUGGUGGGGUAGUGGCCUACCAAGGCGGCGACGGGUAGCCGGCCUGAGAGGGUGACCGGCCACAUUGGGACUGAGAUACGGCCCAGACUCCUACGGGAGGCAGCAGGGGGGAAUAUUGCACAAUGGGCGCAAGCCUGAUGCAGCAGCGCCGCGUGCGGGAUGACGGCCUUCGGGUUGUAAACCGCUUUCAGCAGGGACGAAGCUUUUUGUGACGGUACCUGCAGAAGAAGCACCGGCUAACUACGUG